GAUGAAGAACGUAGCGAAAUGCGAUACUUGGUGUGAAUUGCAGAAUCCCGUGAACCAUCGAGUCUUUGAACGCAAGUUGCGCCCGAAGCCACUAGGCCGAGGGCACGCCUGCCUGGGCGUCACACGCCGUUGCCCCCCCAUCUACUCCUUCGGGAUUGCGGGGGGGCGGAUGAUGGCCUCCCGUGCGCCUAGCCGCGCGGUUGGCAUAAAUACCAAGUCCUCGGCGACGCACGCCACGACAAUCGGUGGUUGCGAACCCUCGGUUGCCCGUCGUGUGCGUUCGUCGCGCAUCGAGGGCUCGAAAAAUGCUCGGCUCCGGCUGGGCUUUCAACGCGACCCCAGGUCAGGCGGGGUUACCCGCUGAAUUUAAGCAUAUCAAUAAGCGGAGGA
This 390-nucleotide unclassified non-coding RNA is filed under the name soil metagenome. RNAcentral describes it as "partial contains 5.8S ribosomal RNA, internal transcribed spacer 2, and large subunit ribosomal RNA". The stretch from base 1 to 122 matches the Rfam family "5.8S ribosomal RNA", at positions 35 to 154 of the family's 154-position model. The record is from RNAcentral.